GACGAACGCUGGCGGCGUGCUUAACACAUGCAAGUCGAACGGAAAGGCCCGGCUUUUGUGGGGUGCUCGUGUGGCGAACGGGGGAGUAACACGUGUGUAACCUGUCCUUGACUUUGGGAGAUCUUCAGGAAACAGGGGCGAAUAUCGCGGAGAAGCUACUGCUGCAUGGGGGGGGUUGGUGAGUUUCGGCGGUGGGGGAUGGACUCGCGGCUUAUCAGCUUGUUGGUGGGGUAGUGGCUUACCAAGGCUUUGACGGGUAGCCGGCCUGGGCGGGUGACCGGCCACAUUGGGACUGAGAUACGGCCCAGACUCCUACGGGAGGCAGCAGUGGGGAAUAUUGCACAAUGGGCGGAAGCCUGAUGCAGCAACGCCGCGUGCGGGAUGACGGCCUUCGGGUUGUAAACCGCUUUCGCCUGUGACGAAGCGUGAGUGACGGUAAUGGGUAAAGAAGCACCGGCUAACUACGUG
RNAcentral lists this ribosomal RNA (468 nucleotides) under uncultured bacterium. Its description in RNAcentral is "partial 16S ribosomal RNA". It matches the Rfam family "Bacterial small subunit ribosomal RNA", at positions 28 to 507 of the family's 1533-position model. The record is from RNAcentral.